UACGAGUGCUUCAAGCGUUAUCCGGAAUCAUUGGGCGUAAAGGGUGUGUAGGUGGUUUUGUUAGUCUCGCGUUAAAUCUACCGGCUCAACCGGUAGGCCGCGUGGGAAACGGCAAGACUAGAGGACGGAAGGGGUCUCUGGAACUCAUGGUGUAGCGGUGAAAUGCGUUGAUAUCAUGGGGAACACCGAAAGCGAAGGCAAGAGACUGGUCCGCUCCUGACACUGAAACACGAAAGCGUGGGUCGCGAAUGGG
RNAcentral lists this ribosomal RNA (253 nucleotides) under uncultured bacterium. Its description in RNAcentral is "partial 16S ribosomal RNA". It matches the Rfam family "Bacterial small subunit ribosomal RNA", at positions 524 to 776 of the family's 1533-position model. The record is from RNAcentral.